This is an RNA transcript of Brassica napus (rape), 1810 nucleotides long. RefSeq lists it as uncharacterized. Lineage: Eukaryota; Viridiplantae; Streptophyta; Magnoliopsida; Brassicales; Brassicaceae. The record is from RefSeq and is a predicted model, not a curated record. The transcript has 2 exons.
UCUGGAUUAUUUUUACCGUCGAUUCUUUUCGAUAUCCUAAAUAAUGUGUUCUAAGUGUUUUUUUUCUUCUGGAAACACAUAAAUAUGAAAACCUUAUCCCAAGGUAAUAUUUUGUGUUUGGUUAAAGCAUGUUAAAAUAUAUAUAUGCUUUGCGUUACUUGGCGUUCAUGUAUAGAAUAUACUAAUGAUCAUCUCUUUUAUCUGAAAUGGCCACGUCCCGUAUUUGGUCCCAAGCGAUAAAGCUACGCUAGGCUGGUCAAAGCCAGUCAAAGCUCGCGGCACGGGGAGGGAAAUAAAAUUCGAUUGAUUUAAUGUUUAAACCAAUCUGGAAUUGAGAGCGACACUGGGCAACUUGGUCUGAACCAUAAAUAAAACUGCAAAUUGCAAUUUGACUUGGUCUCAAUAGGGUUAUUGGGUCUGUUGUUUGCGCUUUGGUGUAGAUUGUCUGGAGGUUUUGUUUGGUACCCAAUUGUAUACAGCCCAAGAUAAUUGGACCGAACUAACUUAUCUGGACGCUUGGUCAUUGAUUUAAAACCCGAUCUCGUUCUACUCAUCCUCCUGCUUCAUUCACCUUCGUUCGUUGAUCUUAGCAACAUUGUUCUUGAUUGGCUCAAGUUUGAACUCCCUUAACUUGUAAGUUCUAUCCCAAUCCAGGGUUCCAAUUCUAUGUUUUAAUUGUAAGAUCGCAUGGUAUAUGAUAGGCUCAUGUGUGCUAAAGAUUAAAUGUGAAGGAAAUGGUCAUUUUGGUGAACAAAGUAAAGACUAGUGUGAUAAAAUGUUUAUAUAAGGAUACAUUAGUUAAUUUCUAAUUUGAUGAAGGCCGGGUAAGAAAUUAAUACUCUAUAGAUAUGUAUCAAAUUCUCAGAUGACCCUAGAGUGUUACAAAAAUUUGAAAAUGGAUUCUUCUAAUUUUAUUUAUGUUAAUUAUUUUCUUUUUAAAUAGAAAAAUUGCACAUAGAUAUAUAUUUAGAUAGAUCACAUGAGAGAUAAGUAUAACACAAGAUAUGAACAUAUCUAAAUAUAUUCUCUUAAAGAUCAUUUCAAUAUGUAUCAAUAAUACCCUACCAGAUGUAAAUGCAAAUAUAUUCUUCCUCUUUUUCUGCUAUACCAAACAUAUACACACGAAUUCGACCAGGUUUGAAUAUGGAUGAUAACAUAAUGAUGAAAUUGUAUAGUACUAAUACAAACUAUUAAAUUACAUUUCCCGGUCAAAUGUAAUCAUGUUAAAAGAAAUAACACAAUAAAAAAUUUAUUUACAUAAAUUAUUGUUUGGGAAUGGUUAUAAAUAAAUCAAAGGGGGAUAAUAUAAAUAUAUAAUGUAAGAAAGUCUUUAAAACCAAAAGGCCGGUGUGAGACAUUUUUUUCUGGCGUCUAUACAUAUAGAAGGGAGGAGAGAGAAGGAUAUAUGUAGAGAGAGGAAGUAUGGCUUGUUCAUCAUCUUCAUCAACAGUGUUAUGUUUGUUCCUGAUCAUCUCCACAUGUGCUCUCGUCUCUUCUGCUCGCCUCAGUCUUUCAUUUCCAGGUUAUUGGAUGGGAGAUCUCAGAAUCAAAUGUUUUCCAACCAAAAUUAUUCCCUGAUGAUGAGGGGUAUUGACAUGAUGCAUAUCUAAAACUGUGUAUAAAAAAAACUGUGUAUAUCAGAAAAAAGAACUGUGUAUCAUAAACUAUGUAUAUUAAAAAAAAACUGUGUAUAUCUUAAAAGAUUGUUCAAGAAUAUCAUCAAAAAGAACAACAAUACCUCAAUUAUAUAUAUUUUUAUAGAGAAAAGAAGAAAACUUAAUUAGAUAAAUAAAAGAGAAAAUGUUAUAUU